UAUGUGAUCGUCUCUCGCAUAUCAAUAAGCGGAGGAAAAGAAAAUAACAAUGAUUUCCCUAGUAACGGCGAGUGAAGAGGAAAGAGCUCAAAGUUGGAAACUGUUUGGCUUAGCUAAACCGUAUUGUAAACUGUAGAAACAUUUUCCUGGCACGCCGGAUUAAUAAGUCCUUUGGAACAAGGCAUCAUGGAGGGUGAGAAUCCCGUCUUUGAUCCGAGUAGUUGUCUUUUGUGAUAUGUUUUCAAAGAGUCGGAUUGUUUGGGAAUGCAGUCCAAAAUGGGUGGUAAAUUUCAUCUAAAGCUAAAUAUUGGCGAGAGACCGAUAGCGAACAAGUACCGUGAGGGAAAGAUGAAAAGAACUUUGAAAAGAGAGUUAAACAGUACGUGAAUUGUCAAAAGGGAAGCGUUUGACACCAGUGUUGUUUUUCUGAAAAUCAAUUAAAGAACUGUUUAUGCUAAGUUGUUUAGACUUUAUCAGCUAUCUGCUUAGUUUUGAGCUUUUCUUUAAUGCACUUUUCAGUUAACAAGUCAACAUCAAUUUCUUUUGCUGUAAAAAAGCUUGAGGAAGGUGGCUUGAGAUUCGUCUUAAGUGUUUAUAGCCUCUUGCCUAUGCAGUCGGAAGAGAUUGAGGUCUGCAGCGUAGAUCCUUCGGGGCUAAAUGCAUUUGUGCUAAGUUAUAGCAUUUUAUAGACAACUUGUUGACUAUGAUUUGUCUUGUAGCUUACUCGCUUAUGUUAUUUUACCUACGCUUAGGAUGUUGAAGUCAUCGUAUCGCGC
This 776-nucleotide ribosomal RNA is filed under the name uncultured Neocallimastigales. RNAcentral describes it as "partial large subunit ribosomal RNA". It matches the Rfam family "Eukaryotic large subunit ribosomal RNA", at positions 24 to 645 of the family's 3401-position model. The record is from RNAcentral. Lineage: Eukaryota; Fungi; Neocallimastigomycota; Neocallimastigomycetes; Neocallimastigales.